CCUACGGGAGGCAGCAGUGGGGAAUAUUGCACAAUGGGGGAAACCCUGAUGCAGCGACGCCGCGUGAGUGAAGAAGUAUCUCGGUAUGUAAAGCUCUAUUAGCAGGGAAGAAAAUGAAGGUACCUGAAUAAGAAGCCCCGGCUAACUACGUGCCAGCAGCCGCGGUAAUACGAAGGGGGCAAGCGUUAUCCGGAUUUACUGGGUGUAAAGGGAGCGUAGGCGGCAGCACAAGUCUGGAGUGAAAUGCCGGGGCUCAACCCCGGAACUGCUUUGGAAACUGUGAGGCUAGAGUGCAGGAGAGGUAAGUGGAAUUCCUAGUGUAGCGGUGAAAUGCGUAGAUAUUAGGAGGAACACCAGUGGCGAAGGCGGCUUACUGGACUUUAACUGACGUUGAGGCACGAAAGCGUGGGGAGCAAACAGGAUUAGAUACCCGUGUAGUC
RNAcentral lists this ribosomal RNA (440 nucleotides) under uncultured bacterium. RNAcentral describes it as "partial 16S ribosomal RNA". It matches the Rfam family "Bacterial small subunit ribosomal RNA", at positions 338 to 795 of the family's 1533-position model. The record is from RNAcentral.